This 253-nucleotide ribosomal RNA is filed under the name uncultured bacterium. Its description in RNAcentral is "partial 16S ribosomal RNA". It matches the Rfam family "Bacterial small subunit ribosomal RNA", at positions 524 to 776 of the family's 1533-position model. The record is from RNAcentral.
UACAGAGGGUGCAAGCGUUGUUCGGAAUUAUUGGGCGUAAAGCGCGCGCAGGCGGUCCUUUAAGUCUGAUGUGAAAGCCCACGGCUCAACCGUGGAGGGUCAUUGGAAACUGGGGGACUUGAGUGCAGAAGAGGAGAGUGGAAUUCCACGUGUAGCGGUGAAAUGCGUAGAGAUGUGGAGGAACACCAGUGGCGAAGGCGACUCUCUGGUCUGUAACUGACGCUGAGGCGCGAAAGCGUGGGGAGCAAACAGG